This 467-nucleotide ribosomal RNA is filed under the name uncultured bacterium. Its description in RNAcentral is "partial 16S ribosomal RNA". It matches the Rfam family "Bacterial small subunit ribosomal RNA", at positions 28 to 506 of the family's 1533-position model. The record is from RNAcentral.
GACGAACGCUGGCGGUGUGCUUAACACAUGCAAGUCGAACGGAAAGGCCCUGCUUUUGUGGGGUGCUCGAGUGGCGAACGGGUGAGUAACACGUGAGUAACCUGCCCUUGACUUUGGGAUAACUUCAGGAAACUGGGGCUAAUACCGGAUAGGAGCUCCUGCUGCAUGGUGGGGGUUGGAAAGUUUCGGCGGUUGGGGAUGGACUCGCGGCUUAUCAGCUUGUUGGUGGGGUAGUGGCUUACCAAGGCUUUGACGGGUAGCCGGCCUGAGAGGGUGACCGGCCACAUUGGGCUUGAGAAACGGCCCAGACUCCUCGGGGGGGCAGCAGGGGGGAAUUUUGCACAAUGGGCGGAAGCCUGAUGCAGAAACCCCGCGGGCGGGAGGACGGCCUUCGGGUUGUAACCCGCUUUCGCCUGUGACGAAGGGUGAGGGACGGUAAUGGGUAAAGAAGCCCCGGCUAACUCCGU